RNAcentral lists this ribosomal RNA (393 nucleotides) under uncultured bacterium. RNAcentral's name for it is "bacterial SSU rRNA". It matches the Rfam family "Bacterial small subunit ribosomal RNA", at positions 971 to 1425 of the family's 1533-position model. The record is from RNAcentral.
UUACCGGCUUAACAUGAUAGAGAUUUCUUCGGACAUAGGUGCUGCAUGGCUGUCGUCAGCUCGUGUUGUGAAAUGUUGGGUUAAGUCCCGCAACGAGCGCAACCCGCCUUAGUGCCAUCAUAUGGGACUCUGGGGGACUGCCGGUGUUAACCGGAGGAAGGCGGGGAUGACGUCAAGUCCUCAUGGCCCUUACGCCGGGCUACACACGUACUACAAUGGGAAACAAGGGGCACCGUGAGGGGAGCAAUCCCAAAAACGUCCCAGUCCGGAUUGGAGUCUGCAACUCGACUCCAUGAAGUUGGAAUCGCUAGUAAUCGCAAUCAGCACGUGCGGUGAAUACGUUCCCGGGCCUUGUACACACCGCCCGUCACACCACGAAAGUGGUUCACCGAA